UGCCAGACUCCUACGGGAGGCAGCAGUGAGGAAUAUUGGGCAAUGGACGCAAGUCUGAACCAGCCAAGUCGCGUGCAGGAUGACGGCCCUCCGGGUUGUAAACUGCUUUUAGUUGGGAAUAAAAGGGGGCUCGUGGGCCCCGUAUUGUAUGUACCAUCAGAAAAAGGACCGGCUAAUUCCGUGCCAGCAGCCGCGGUAAUACGGAAGGUCCGGGCGUUAUCCGGAUUUAUUGGGUUUAAAGGGUGCGUAGGCGGACGCUUAAGUCAGCGGUAAAAUUGCGGGGCUCAACCUCGUCGAGCCGUUGAAACUGGGUGCCUUGAGUGGGCGAGAAGUACGCGGAAUGCGUGGUGUAGCGGUGAAAUGCAUAGAUAUCACGCAGAACUCCGAUUGCGAAGGCAGCGUACCGGCGCCCAACUGACGCUCAUGCACGAAAGCGUGGGUAUCGAACAGGAUUAGAUACCCGAGUAAG
Molecule: ribosomal RNA, 469 nt
Filed under: uncultured bacterium
Lineage: Bacteria
Description: bacterial SSU rRNA
Rfam family: Bacterial small subunit ribosomal RNA
Source: RNAcentral